Molecule: non-coding RNA, 28 nt
Filed under: Cricetulus griseus (Chinese hamster)
Lineage: Eukaryota; Metazoa; Chordata; Mammalia; Rodentia; Cricetidae
Also listed under: 1 other name
Source: RNAcentral
GGGUUCGAAUCCCACCAGAGUCGGUUUU